GAUGAACGCUGGCUACAGGCUUAACACAUGCAAGUCGAGGGGAAACGACGGGGAAGCUUGCUUCCCCGGGCGUCGACCGGCGCACGGGUGAGUAACGCGUAUCCAACCUGCCUCUGACUGAGGGAUAACCCGUCGAAAGUCGGCCUAAUACCUCAUGGCAUCGUCUGCGGGCAUCCAACGACGAUUAAAGAUUUCAUCGGUCAGGGAUGGGGAUGCGUCUGAUUAGCUUGUUGGCGGGGUAACGGCCCACCAAGGCGACGAUCAGUAGGGGUUCUGAGAGGAAGGUCCCCCACAUUGGAAUUGAGACACGGUCCAAACUCCUACGGGAGGCAGCAGUGAGGAAUAUUGGUCAAUGGGCGAGAGCCUGAACCAGCCAAGUAGCGUGCAGGAAGACGGCCCUAUGGGUUGUAAACUGCUUUUAUGCGGGGAUAAAGUGAGGGACGUGUCCUUCAUUGCAGGUACCGCAUGAAUAAGGACCGGCUAAUUCCGUGCCAGCAGCCGCGGUAAUACGGAAGGUCCGGGCGUUAUCCGGAUUUAUUGGGUUUAAAGGGAGCGUAGGCCGUGGAUUAAGCGUGUUGUGAAAUGCAGGUGCUCAACGUCUGCACUGCAGCGCGAACUGGUCCACUUGAGUGUGCACAACGCAGGCGGAAUUCGUCGUGUAGCGGUGAAAUGCUUAGAUAUGACGAAGAACUCCGAUUGCGAAGGCAGCUUGCGGGAGCACAACUGACGCUGAAGCUCGAAAGUGCGGGUAUCGAACAGG
RNAcentral lists this ribosomal RNA (760 nucleotides) under uncultured Prevotella sp. RNAcentral describes it as "bacterial SSU rRNA". It matches the Rfam family "Bacterial small subunit ribosomal RNA", at positions 28 to 776 of the family's 1533-position model. Lineage: Bacteria; Pseudomonadati; Bacteroidota; Bacteroidia; Bacteroidales; Prevotellaceae. The record is from RNAcentral.